UAGGGAAUCUUCGGCAAUGGACGAAAGUCUGACCGAGCAACGCCGCGCGAGCGAAGAAGGUUUCCGGAUCGUAAAACUCUGUUGUUAGAGAAGAACAAGGACGUUAGUAACUGAACGUCCCCUGACGGUAUCUAACCAGAAAGCCACGGCUAACUACGUGCCAGCAGCCGCGGUAAUACGUAGGUGGCAAGCGUUGUCCGGAUUUAUUGGGCGUAAAGCGAGCGCAGGCGGUUUCUUAAGUCUGAUGUGAAAGCCCCCGGCGCAACCGGGGAGGGACAUUUGUAGCUGGGAGAGUUGAGUGCAGGAGAGGAGAGUGGAAUUCCAUGUGUAGCGGUGAAGGGCGUAGAUAUAUGGAGGAACACCAGUGGCGGAGGCGGCUCUCUGGUCUGUAACUGACGCUGAGGCUCGAAAGCGUGGGGAGCAGGCAGG
This 429-nucleotide ribosomal RNA is filed under the name Chloroflexota bacterium. RNAcentral describes it as "Chloroflexi bacterium partial 16S ribosomal RNA". It matches the Rfam family "Bacterial small subunit ribosomal RNA", at positions 355 to 776 of the family's 1533-position model. The record is from RNAcentral. Lineage: Bacteria; Bacillati; Chloroflexota.